CCUACGGGUGGCAGCAGUGGGGAAUAUUGGACAAUGGGCGAAACCCUGAUCCAGCGACGCCGCGUGAGGGAAGAAGGAAUUCGGUACGUAAAGCUCUAUUAGCAGGGAAGAAAAUGACGGUACCUGAGUAAGAAGCCCCGGCUAACUACGUGCCAGCAGCCGCGGUAAUACGUAGGGGGCAAGCGUUAUCCGGAUUUACUGGGUGUAAAGGGAGGGUAGACGGGGUGGUAAGUCUGGAGUGAAAUGCCGGGGCUUAACUGCGGGACUGCGUUGGAAACUGGCGAACUAGAGUGCGGGAGGGGUAAGCGGAAUGCCUGGUGUAGCGGUGAAAUGCGUAGAUAUUAGGAGGAACACCGGUGGCGAAGGCGGCUUACUGGACCGUAACUGACGUUGAGGCUCGAAAGCGUGGGGAGCAAACAGGAUUAGAUACCCUGGUAGUC
Molecule: ribosomal RNA, 440 nt
Filed under: uncultured bacterium
Lineage: Bacteria
Description: partial 16S ribosomal RNA
Rfam family: Bacterial small subunit ribosomal RNA
Source: RNAcentral